Oncorhynchus keta (chum salmon) is the source of this 3297-nucleotide long non-coding RNA. RefSeq lists it as uncharacterized. Lineage: Eukaryota; Metazoa; Chordata; Actinopteri; Salmoniformes; Salmonidae. The record is from RefSeq and is a predicted model, not a curated record. The transcript is spliced from 2 exons.
AGUGGGAGGAGAGUUUGACCGUCUAAGGGCAGGAGAUAGCAUAUGUCGUAGGGUGGAUUAUAAGGUCUAAGGGCAGGAGAUAGCAUAUCUCGUAGGGUGGACUAUAAGCUCUAAGGUCAGGAGAUAGCAUAUGUCUUAGGGUGGAUUAUAAGGUCUAAGGGCAGGAGAUAGCAUAUGUCGUAGGGUGGACUAUAAGCUCUAAGGUCAGGAGAUAGCAUAUGUCGUAGGGUGGACUAUAAACUCUAAGGUCAGGAGAUAGCAUAUGUCGUAGGGUGGACUAUAAACUCUAAGGUCAGGAGAUAGCAUAUGUCGUAGGGUGGACUUUAACAGAAUUUUCACUGAACUAUGCAUGCUUUCGCCAAUGAUUGACAUACACUUUUAUUUAACUUUUAUUUAACUAGGCAAUUCAGUUAAGAACAAAUUAUUAUUUAUAAUGACGGCCUACCAGAAGGCUAAAGGCCUCCUGCGGGUACGGGGGCCUGGGAUUAAAAAAUAAAAAAUAAAAUACAAAUAUAGGACAAAACUCACAUCACGACAAGAGAGACAUCACAACACUGCAUAAAGAGAGACCUAUUAAUUGAUUUCUGAUUGCCCUUAAUUGAUUGCAUGUGUGUAAUGUGACACAAAAAAUACGAAGUGCAUGCUCUUCAAUCGAUCACUGCCCGCACCCGCCCGCCUGACUAGCAUCACUACUCUGGACGGUUCUGACUUAGAAUAUGUGGACAACUACUAAUAUCUAGGUGUCUGGCUAGACUGUAAACUCUCCUUCCAGACUCAUAUUAAGCAUCUCCAAUCAAAAAUUAAAUAUAGAAUUGGCUUCCUAUUUCGCAACAAAGCCUCCUUCACUCACGCAGCCAAACAUAUCCUCGUAAAACUGACUAUCCUACCAAUCAAUGACUUUGGCCACAUCAAUUACAAAAUAGCCUCUAACACUACUCAGCAAAUUGGAUGCAGUCUAUCACAGUGCCAUCUGUUUUGCUACCCACCACUGUGACCUGUAUGCUCUCGUUGGCUGGCCCUCGCUUCGCUUCAAAUUCGUCUCCAAACCCACUGGCUCCAGGUCAUAUAUAAGUCUUUGCUAGGUAAAGCUCCGCCUUAUCUCAGCUCACUGGUCACCAUAGCAACACCCACCCAUAGCAUUCGCUCCAGCAGGUAUAUCUCACUGGUCACCAUAGCAACACCCACCCGUAGCACGCGCUCCAGCAGGUAUAUCUCACUGGUCACCAUAGCAACACCCACCCGUAGCACGCGCUCCAGCAGGUAUAUCUCACUGGUCACCAUAGCAACACCCACCCGUAGCACGCGCUCCAGCAGGUAUAUCUCACUGGUCACCAUAGCAACACCCACCCGUAGCACGCGCUCCAGCAGGUAUAUCUCACUGGUCACCAUAGCAACACCCACCCGUAGCACGCGCUCCAGCAGGUAUAUCUCACUGGUCACCAUAGCAACACCCACCCGUAGCACGCGCUCCAGCAGGUAUAAAUUGCCUUUAAAUUGUUUAACUCGGGUCAAACGUUUCAGGUAGCCUUCCACAAGCUUCCCACAAUAAUUUGGGUGAAUUUUGUCCCAUUCCUCCUGACAGAGCUGGUGUAAUUGAGUCAGGUUUGUAGGCCUCCUGACAGAGCUGGUGUAACUGAGUCAGGUUUGUAGGGCUCCUGACAGAGCUGGUGUAAUUGAGUCAGGUUUGUAGGCCUCCUGACAGAGCUGGUGUAAUUGAGUCAGGUUUGUAGGCCUCCUUGCUCGCACAUGAUUUUCAGUUAUGCCCACACAUGUUCUAUAUGAUUGAGGUCAGGGCUUUGUGAUGGCCGCUCCAAUACCUUGACUUUGUUGUCCUUAAAGCCAUUUUUCCACAACUUUGGAAGUAUGCUUGGGGUCAUUGUCCAUUUGGAAGACCCAUUUGUGACCAAGCUUUAACUUCCUGACUGAUGUCUUGAGAUGUUGCCAUCAAUAUAUCCACCUAAUUUUCCUCCUCAUGUUGUCAUCUAUUUUGUGAAGUGCACCAGUCCCUCCUGCAGCAAAGCACCCCCACAACAUGAGGCUGCCACCCCUGUGCUUCACGGUGGGGAUGGUGUUCUUCGGCUUGCAAGCCUCCCCCUUUUUCCUCCAAACAUAACGAUAGUCAUUAUGGCCAAACAGUUCUAUUUUUGUCUUUGUCCCCAUGUGCAGUUGCAAGCCGCAGUCUGGCUUUUUAAAGGUGGUUUUUGGAGAAGUGGAUUCUUCCUUGCUUAGCGGCUUUUCAGGUUAUGUCGAUAGGACUCGUUUUACUGUGGAUAUAGAUACUUUUGUACCUGUUUCCUCCAGCAUCUUCACAAGGUCCUUUGCUGUUGUUCUGGGAUUGAUUUGCACUCUCUCACCGAAGUACAUUCAUCUCUAGGAGACAGAACGCGUCUCCUUCCUGAGCAGUAUGAUGUCUGCGUGGUCCCAUGGUGUUUAUACUUGCGUACUAUUGUUUGUACAGAUGAACGUGGUACCUUCAGGCGUUUGGAAAUUGCUCCCAAGGAUGAGCCAGACUUGUGGAGGUCUACAAUUAUUUUUCUGAGUUCUCGGCUGAUUUAUUUUGAUUUUCUCAUGAUGUCAAGCAAAGAGGCACUGAGUUUCAAGGUAGACCUUGAAAUACAUCCACAGGUACACCUCCAAUUGACUCAAAUUAUGUCAAUUAGCCUAUCAGAAGCUUCUAAAGCCAUGACAUAAUUUUCUGGAAUUUUCCAAGGCACAGUCAACUUAGUGUAUGUAAACUUCUGACCCACUGGAAUUGUGAUACAGUGAAUUAUAAGUUAAAUAAUCUGUCUGUAAACAAUUGUUGGAGAAAUUACUUGUGUCAUGCACAAAGUAGAUGUGCUAACCGACUUGCCAAAACUAUAGUUUGUUGACAAGAAAUGUUUGGAGUGGUUGAAGAACGAGUUUUAAUGACGCCAACCAAAGUGCAUGUAAACUUCCGACUUCAACUGUAGCUUCUUCCCCAUAUUCCUUUGUUUUUCUGCUCUUUAACACACCAGUAUUUCUACUCGCACAUCCUCAUCUGCACAUGUAUCACUCCAGUGUAAAUGGCUAAAUUGUAAUUACUUCGUCGCUAUUGGCCUAUUUACUUCAUUUGUACUGCAUACAGAUGUUCUAUUUUAUUAUUGACUGUAUGUUUGUUUUACUCCAUGUGUAACUCUGUGUUGUUGUUUGUGUCGUACUGCUUUGCUUUAUCUUGGGCCAGGUUGCAGUUGUAAAUGAGAACUGGUUCUCAACUGGCCUACCUGGUUAAUUAAACUUGAAAUUAAAAAUAAACAUACAGAGAGACUUAUGAAUUGA